UGCAUUCACUACUGUAAGUCGCUCUGGAUAAGAGCGUCUGCUAAAUGUAUAUAU
Salmo salar (Atlantic salmon) is the source of this 54-nucleotide non-coding RNA. The record is from Rfam. NCBI's taxonomy places the organism in Eukaryota, Metazoa, Chordata, Actinopteri, Salmoniformes, Salmonidae.